This 544-nucleotide ribosomal RNA is filed under the name uncultured bacterium. RNAcentral describes it as "bacterial SSU rRNA". It matches the Rfam family "Bacterial small subunit ribosomal RNA", at positions 812 to 1354 of the family's 1533-position model. The record is from RNAcentral.
AGUGCUAAGUGUUAGAGGGUUUCCGCCCUUUAGUGCUGCAGCAAACGCAUUACGCACUCCGCCUGGGGAGUACGGCCGCAAGGCUGAAACUCAAAGGAAUUGACGGGGGCCCGCACAAGCGGUGGAGCAUGUGGUUUAAUUCGAAGCAACGCGAAGAAGGUUACCAGGUCUUGACAUCCUCUGACAACCCUAGAGAUAGGGCGUUCCCCUUCGGGGGACAGAGUGACAGGUGGUGCAUGGUUGUCGUCAGCUCGUGUCGUGAGAUGUUGGGUUAAGUCCCGCAACGAGCGCAACCCUUGAUCUUAGUUGCCAGCAUUCAGUUGGGCACUCUAAGGUGACUGCCGGUGACAAACCGGAGGAAGGUGGGGAUGACAUCAAAUCAUCAUGCCCCUUAUGACCUGGGCUACACACGUGCUACAAUGGAUGGAACAAAGGGCAGCGAAGCCGCGAGGUGAAGCCAAUCCCAUAAAUCCAUUCUCAGUUCGGAUUGCAGGCUGCAACUCGCCUGCAUGAAGCCGGAAUCGCUAGUAAUCGCGGAUCAGCA